Molecule: long non-coding RNA, 2194 nt
Organism: Fundulus heteroclitus (mummichog)
Lineage: Eukaryota; Metazoa; Chordata; Actinopteri; Cyprinodontiformes; Fundulidae
Exons: 2
Source: RefSeq, a predicted model, not a curated record
AACUGCUAUCCAUAGAGCUAUCUAUCUGCAGGAAAAAGCCAGAAGUUCCUGUCCAGAGUCGGUGGUGAAGAGACCAGUCGAACCAGGAGACCUGGUGUACGUGAAGGUGUUCAGACGUAAAUUUAACAGCUCGAGAUGGGACGGACCAUUUGAGGUCAAACGAGCGACCGCAACCGCCGUCCAAGUUCAGGAGGUGGUGAGCCUAACAACAGCGAGGCUGGAGAUGAACUCUCACAGCCUGCAGACGGCACCACAGCAUCAGCCAACGUCAGCUCAACCACAAGUGAAACGAGCAACGUGUAAUAAGGGUCGAGACGAUCGACAUGCAACCAUGAAAUGUGGCACUUCAUUCUAUAAAGGGAAAUCCACCUUUGCAGAACAAGAUAAGUACAACACAAUGUUAAUGGGUUUGACAAAGUACACACCAGUGUUUUUGCCAGCUGAACUGAAGUUAAUGACUCAUCUAGGUCUUAAAGAACAGUAGAAUGGUAAUACAAAACAGACAAGCCUUAGAUUGACUUUUAGCAAGUAAGGGAGGUGUUUGUCACAUGUUCGGUAAUCAGUGCUGUACAUACAUUCCUAUGAACACAGCUCCUAAAGGUUCGUUUAGGGCAGUAAUGGUUAAACUUAUGAAACUUAAAGAACAAGUAAAAGAGAAUGCUGGUAGAAACAACUGGUCGUGGAAAAGUCUGGAAGAAAUUUUAGGAGAAUGGGGUGUUUUAGCCGCUAAAACAGGACUAACUUUGGUAAUAACACUGAUUGUAAUCUUAUUGUUUCUGUGUUGUGUUGUGCCUAAUUUGAAAAGGUGGAUUGUGGGAACGAUGUGUAGAUGGAUGACAUCAGGCAGCAGCCAUCGAAAAGGCUGACAUCCCGGCCGCCUGGACACGUCUAUGGACUCACACGUAUGCUACAGACUCAUUCCAAAUGGAAAGGAGUACCCGUGAUCAAGACGGACUCUCUUGUUUUGCUACGUGUCCAUGGACUCAUUCAAACCAAGCACACGAACUGAAGACUGACUAACCCUAUUAAUCUUGUUUCAGUUACUAAAUUUAAGAUUAAAUAAAUAAAAUACAAUACAAUAAAGUAUUAGUAGAUAAGGUAGCACAGGCGGCCGGUUAGUUUAAUCUGUCAUAACAUUAUAUCUUAACAUUCGUUUCUGUUUAACCCUCCGUAUCAGUUUUAUUAGCAAGAUAAUUUGCAUAUAUAUAUAAUCCAUGUAUUUCAUAUGUUGUUUAUUGAUGGUUGUAUAUGUUACAUUCUAUUAGGUACUCUUUUUGAAUGAUAAGUGCUGGAUUUCAUUGCAAGUAGCAUGGCUGAUUUCCAAUUGAUGCCGGUCGACCUGGCUGGCGGAUGCUCGAUGGAGAACCGAGAUCCAUGGGAGAGUUUUUUCCCCUGAGAACAGUACAUGAACAAGUGCCAACAACGGGGUUUUUCGCUUCCAUAUCAGCUGGAUUGAUGCCAAUGUAAAAGCAAUGACUAUUUUCUCUCUCUCUCUCUCCCUCUCUCUCUCUCUCUUCCUCUUAGUCUCUCUCUUCUGUCUCUCUCUCUCUCUCAUUGAAAUGUGUUAGUGAUUGUAAUUUGCACUUAUUACAAGUCAGUGUUGAUCAACAAUUAUGUGGACACCGUGAUCACAUUAGUAUAUUAUCCAUUGGUUGUGUAAGCAAUUAAAUUUUUAGAUGUUGUUAUUAUUACAGCUAAGCUUGAUUAGUGUGGAGUCAGAUUUUCUCUUUAUACGAUGUUUAGUCUAUGUACUUUAGUAUAUAGAGGGUUCCUUAGGAGUGUUACGUAAGUAACGUAACAAGGGAGGAUAUGCAGGGGGUUUGAAAACAUCUGAAGUCUGUUUGUCCUGAAAGCCAGGCAAAAGGAGCACAAGUCCAGAAUAUGACCAGGACAUGACAUCCUGUGUGACCCAAACAGAGGUCAACUGACAAGAUAAGGUUGUCUGUUUUUAAACGUUUGUGGAGUUGUUCCCAGAAAUAUGACCAAUGUCUGCCAAAGGAGGCUGGAAGCACGUGGACACUGCUGGGUCACAGCGCGGACCAAUGGGUGCACAGAGAAUCUUAUUUGUAACACACACCCAUCUGUGGGAUAUAAAAUGCAUGUACACUAUGUUGUAAUCAGAACUCUAGCUCACACCCGUUCUUACGUGCUGAGAGGUAAAGCCUGAAAUAAAGGGUUCUCCAGUUGGCAAGCA